RNAcentral lists this transfer RNA (83 nucleotides) under Planctomycetes bacterium GWC2_45_44. RNAcentral describes it as "tRNA-Leu". It matches the Rfam family "tRNA". From Rfam's summary of the family: Transfer RNA (tRNA) molecules are approximately 80 nucleotides in length. Their secondary structure includes four short double-helical elements and three loops (D, anti-codon, and T loops). RNAcentral also lists the same sequence under 3 other names. The record is from RNAcentral. Lineage: Bacteria; Pseudomonadati; Planctomycetota.
GGCCGAGUGGCGGAAUGGCAGACGCUGGGGACUUAAAAUCCCCUACUCGCAAGGGUGUGUGGGUUCGAAUCCCACCUCGGCCA